This is a long non-coding RNA of Mobula hypostoma (lesser devil ray), 585 nucleotides long. RefSeq lists it as uncharacterized. The transcript is spliced from 4 exons. Lineage: Eukaryota; Metazoa; Chordata; Chondrichthyes; Myliobatiformes; Myliobatidae. The record is from RefSeq and is a predicted model, not a curated record.
CCAUGGAACAUCAAUACUCUAAAUGGAAUUAGGUGUCCCAAGACUAUGCGUGGAAUGAUGUGACUCCGUGAAUGGGGUUUUGUGUGUAAAUGGACGUUGUUUCCUUUGGAAAGUUUGGGGAAAUUCAAAGAUGAUACUCUGUAAGUAAACAACAGGAAUUCUGCAGAUGCUGGAAAUUCAAGCAACACACAUAAAAGUUGCUGGUGAACGCAGCAGGCCAGGCAGCAUCUCUAGGAAGAGGUGCAGUCGACGUUUCAGGCCGAGACCCUUCGUCAGGACUCACUCUAUUUCUCUCAAUAUCAGAAAGAUUCAACAAUUGUUAAAAAGCUGAGCCACUUUAACAAGGAUCAAGCACAUUUCGAUGAUAAAGGCUCAGAUGCAGACCGUUGAAAGGGUUCUUUUGAAGAGGCUGACCUGGAGUUACAUGCUAACUACAGUUCGUUGCGGGAAUGGGACCUGCUCUCGGGUUUCACAACCGACCGUUCAGCAUGUUCGGCAUGACAAGGGCUCGGCUUUGGAAGCCUAGGAUCUCAGGGCUCUGGAGGUGGGUGGAUCAAGGUUUCGGUGUCACAACAGGAGACCCAU